UAACGACUUAUUCAAGAAACUACUUCCUAACUUCAGUCAAUCCUGUGAAGACUCUAUACUACCAGCUAUAUUAUCAGAUUUCAGUGAACAGAAGUAGAAGAUCAUAACGACUUAUUCAAGAAACUACUUCCUAACUUUAGUCAAUCCUGUGAAGACUCUAUACUACCAGCUAUAUUAUCAGGAUUCAAAGAGAGGAUCAAAUCAACUCACUAACUCAAUUAAUUACGAAUUUUAACAGUCUCUCGACACCAGAUAUAUCAACUGAUCAGCAAUGGAUAAAUAUUUGGAAAAUGGCAAACAAAUAUUCGAAGAAUAUUGCGCAACGGCAGAAAACCAGCCUACAAUGCUUCCAA
Molecule: long non-coding RNA, 353 nt
Organism: Bolinopsis microptera
Lineage: Eukaryota; Metazoa; Ctenophora; Tentaculata; Lobata; Bolinopsidae
Exons: 4
Source: RefSeq, a predicted model, not a curated record